Molecule: ribosomal RNA, 294 nt
Filed under: Triticum aestivum (bread wheat)
Lineage: Eukaryota; Viridiplantae; Streptophyta; Magnoliopsida; Poales; Poaceae
Description: partial small subunit ribosomal RNA
Source: RNAcentral
AUGGCCGCCAGGAACUUCUUCGUCCGAUCCCCCAAGGAGGAGGAAUCCAGCGCCGCCAUCCGAGAGGCUGUCCUGUUGGGAGGGAAGAACGCCGCCAUUGCAGGCACCGUGGUCGCGGUUCCCACGUUCGUUGCCUGUCGUGUCCUUCCUUGGGCCAAGCACAAUCUGAACUACACCGCGCAGGCGCUCAUCAUAUCGACAGCCUGUGUGGCCGGGUUCUUCAUCACCGCGGAUAAAACCAUUCUACGAAACGCAAGGCAGAACACCAUCGGGAGGAUCGACGAGUCGACUUGA